ACGGGGUGAAUGGAGAGAUGCUGUAGAAGUUGAGCAAGGUUUUUAGAGUCCAAGCUUCUAUUGUUUAGAUUGUAGCUAACUGUGAGUGUCGCUGACGGCGGAGAUCAACCGCUGCGGGGAUUUCGUGGACUGCAUCCUGGGAUCAUCGUGGAGACUACGGCGACCAGCUGGACAUCAGCACACAGACCUGCAACGUUUUGAGGCUGGUGGAAGCUGAAUUAGUGAGGAUGACUCCUGCUCCUGUCAUCUCUAAGCUCCUCACACAUCUUUACCUGCACAUGAGGAAAAUCACUCCUGUAGAAUGCAGAUGUUCAGAGGGAGAUGAUGCCACAUCUGGUCCAGCUGAUGGAAGGUCUUGAAGUUCUCUGACUGACCUCGACUGAAGAUGGUCGUCUCACUGGAUUUAAGGUUCAGAUGCUCAGUAACAAACUCCACCAAUGUGCCAACAGGGAAGCUUUAGGUUUAUUAAAUGUUGCUAUGAAGGUAUCGCUGUUUUUCUUUGUGAAUGCAAUGUGCUCCAACUGAAACUUGAAUUAGAACUUAGAAGUAAAUCCUUCCAUCUGAAAGGAUUUAGUUGCAUUAAUAACCUCAUAACAUUCUAAUUUUUAUUCCAGUCUUGGUUGGAAAUAGAAUCUCUGUAUUGAUUCAGGUAAAAACUGAACUUCACAGCAUGUUGGAGCAAAACAACCAGAUGAAAACUGUGAUGUGUUGGAUUGUCAGACCGUAAUGUUGCAGCUCAAAGCAGCUUUUCUAGCUCAGUUCAUUCUGACAUUCAGCUAUGAAUCAACACAGCAGAUGGUGAUCCAUGCUGUGGAAGUCUCACAUCUCCUGAUUUAAUGGAGCUGCUUUGCACUUUUUACACUGUUUAUUCACCAACACUUUAUUUAAUAAAAGUCCCAUCUAGUUUUUAUGAGGAAUGUGAUGUUUUAAUUUCUCUGUGAAUAACUGCAGUCUAAUGCAACAGCUGGAGUUGUA
Amphiprion ocellaris (clown anemonefish) is the source of this 975-nucleotide long non-coding RNA. Lineage: Eukaryota; Metazoa; Chordata; Actinopteri; Pomacentridae. The record is from Ensembl.